AACUGUCUCUAUUUUAAUAUUAGAAUUUAAAUUUUUAGUUAAAAUGCUUAAAUUUUUUUAUAGGACGAGAAGACCCUAUAGAUCUUUAAUUUGAUAAUUAUUUAUUUAUUUAGUAUAAAUUUUAUAUAUAAUUAUUAUAUUUUUGUUGGGGUGACAUUGAGAUAUUAUUAACUCUUUUUUUUCUUAAUCAUUUAUUUAUGUUUAAUUGACCUUUUAUUACUGUUUUAAGAUUAAGAUACCUUAGGGAUAACAGCGUUAUUCUUUUUUAGAGUUCAUAUCGACAAAGGAGAUUGCGACCUCGAUGUUGGAUUAAGAUUAUAAUUUGGUGUAGAAGCUUAAUUAUUAAGUCUGUUCGACUUUUAAAUUCUUACAUGAUCUGAGUUCAAACCGGAGA
This 394-nucleotide ribosomal RNA is filed under the name Lamachodes sp. 3 SB-2021. Its description in RNAcentral is "partial large subunit ribosomal RNA". The stretch from base 246 to 394 matches the Rfam family "Bacterial large subunit ribosomal RNA", at positions 2473 to 2622 of the family's 2925-position model. The record is from RNAcentral. Lineage: Eukaryota; Metazoa; Arthropoda; Insecta; Phasmatodea; Lonchodidae.